GUUGGGAGACUUGAUCUCUUAGUGGCGCAGUUAACGCGAUAAGUAGACCGCCUGGGGAGUACGGCCGCAAGGUUAAAACUCAAAUGAAUUGACGGGGGCCCGCACAAGCGGUGGAGCAUGUGGUUUAAUUCGACGCAACGCGAAGAACCUUACCAGGUCUUGACAUCCUAGAAACUUAGCAGAGAUGCUUUGGUGCCUUCGGGAAUCUAGUGACAGGUGCUGCAUGGCUGUCGUCAGCUCGUGUCGUGAGAUGUUGGGUUAAGUCCCGUAACGAGCGCAACCCUUGUCCUUAGUUGCCAGCACGUAAUGGUGGGAACUCUAAGGAGACUGCCGGUGACAAACCGGAGGAAGGUGGGGACGACGUCAAGUCAUCAUGGCCCUUACGACCUGGGCUACACACGUGCUACAAUGGCCAGUACAGAGGGCUGCAAGCCCGCGAGGGGGAGCUAAUCUCACAAAGCUGGUCGUAGUCCGGAUCGCAGUCUGCAACUCGACUGCGUGAAGUUGGAAUCGCUAGUAAUCGUGAAUCAGAAUGUCACGGUGAAUACGUUCCCGGGCCUUGUACACACCGCCCGUCACACCAUGGGAGUAGGUUGCAAAAGAAGUAGCUAGGCUAACCUUCGGGAGGCCGGUUACCACUUUGUGAUUUAUGACUGGGGUG
Molecule: ribosomal RNA, 661 nt
Filed under: uncultured marine bacterium
Lineage: Bacteria
Description: bacterial SSU rRNA
Rfam family: Bacterial small subunit ribosomal RNA
Source: RNAcentral